UACGAAGGGUGCAAGCGUUAAUCGGAAUUACUGGGCGUAAAGCGUGCGUAGGCGGCCUGUUAAGUCUGUCGUGAAAGCCCCGGGCUCAACCUGGGAAUGGCGAUGGAAACUGGUGGGCUAGAGUGUGAUAGAGGAUGGUGGAAUUCCCGGUGUAGCGGUGAAAUGCGUAGAGAUCGGGAGGAACAUCAGUGGCGAAGGCGGCCAUCUGGAUCAACACUGACGCUGAGGCACGAAAGCGUGGGGAGCAAACAGG
This 253-nucleotide ribosomal RNA is filed under the name uncultured bacterium. RNAcentral's name for it is "partial 16S ribosomal RNA". It matches the Rfam family "Bacterial small subunit ribosomal RNA", at positions 524 to 776 of the family's 1533-position model. The record is from RNAcentral.